GUAAUGUCUGGGAAACUGCCUGAUGGAGGGGGAUAACUACUGGAAACGGUGGCUAAUACCGCAUAACGUCGCAAGACCAAAGAGGGGGACCUUCGGGCCUCUUGCCAUCAGAUGUGCCCAGAUGGGAUUAGCUUGUUGGUGAGGUAACGGCUCACCAAGGCGACGAUCCCUAGCUGGUCUGAGAGGAUGACCAGCCACACUGGAACUGAGACACGGUCCAGACUCCUACGGGAGGCAGCAGUGGGGAAUAUUGCACAAUGGGCGCAAGCCUGAUGCAGCCAUGCCGCGUGUAUGAAGAAGGCCUUCGGGUUGUAAAGUACUUUCAGCGGGGAGGAAGGUGUUGUGGUUAAUAACCGCAGCAAUUGACGUUACCCGCAGAAGAAGCACCGGCUAACUCCGUGCCAGCAGCCGCGGUAAUACGGAGGGUGCAAGCGUUAAUCGGAAUUACUGGGCGUAAAGCGCACGCAGGCGGUCUGUCAAGUCGGAUGUGAAAUCCCCGGGCUCAACCUGGGAACUGCAUUCGAAACUGGCAGGCUUGAGUCUUGUAGAGGGGGGUAGAAUUCCAGGUGUAGCGGUGAAAUGCGUAGAGAUCUGGAGGAAUACCGGUGGCGAAGGCGGCCCCCUGGACAAAGACUGACGCUCAGGUGCGAAAGCGUGGGGAGCAAACAGGAUUAGAUACCCUGGUAGUCCACGCCGUAAACGAUGUCUACUUGGAGGUUGUGCCCUUGAGGCGUGGCUUCCGGAGCUAACGCGUUAAGUAGACCGCCUGGGGAGUACGGCCGCAAGGUUAAAACUCAAAUGAAUUGACGGGGGCCCGCACAAGCGGUGGAGCAUGUGGUUUAAUUCGAUGCAACGCGAAGAACCUUACCUGGUCUUGACAUCCACGGAAGUUUUCAGAGAUGAGAAUGUGCCUUCGGGAACCGUGAGACAGGUGCUGCAUGGCUGUCGUCAGCUCGUGUUGUGAAAUGUUGGGUUAAGUCCCGCAACGAGCGCAACCCUUAUCCUUUGUUGCCAGCGGUUAGGCCGGGAACUCAAAGGAGACUGCCAGUGAUAAACUGGAGGAAGGUGGGGAUGACGUCAAGUCAUCAUGGCCCUUACGACCAGGGCUACACACGUGCUACAAUGGCGCAUACAAAGAGAAGCGACCUCGCGAGAGCAAGCGGACCUCAUAAAGUGCGUCGUAGUCCGGAUUGGAGUCUGCAACUCGACUCCAUGAAGUCGGAAUCGCUAGUAAUCGUGGAUCAGAAUGCCACGGUGAAUACGUUCCCGGGCCUUGUACACACCGCCCGUCACACCAUGGGAGUGGGUUGCAAAAGAAGUAGGUAGCUUAACCUUCGGGAGGGCGCUUACCACUUUGUGAUUCAUGACUGGGGUGAAGUCGUAACAAGGUAACCGUAGGGGAACCUGCGGUUGGA
RNAcentral lists this ribosomal RNA (1415 nucleotides) under Salmonella enterica subsp. enterica. RNAcentral describes it as "bacterial SSU rRNA". It matches the Rfam family "Bacterial small subunit ribosomal RNA". The record is from RNAcentral. Lineage: Bacteria; Pseudomonadati; Pseudomonadota; Gammaproteobacteria; Enterobacterales; Enterobacteriaceae.